AUUCAGCCUACGUGUCCCAAAUAGGACGGAACGAGCGUCCUGGAU
RNAcentral lists this non-coding RNA (45 nucleotides) under Schistosoma mansoni. The record is from RNAcentral. Lineage: Eukaryota; Metazoa; Platyhelminthes; Trematoda; Strigeidida; Schistosomatidae.